RNAcentral lists this ribosomal RNA (403 nucleotides) under Verrucomicrobiota bacterium. RNAcentral describes it as "Verrucomicrobia bacterium partial 16S ribosomal RNA". It matches the Rfam family "Bacterial small subunit ribosomal RNA", at positions 355 to 776 of the family's 1533-position model. Lineage: Bacteria; Pseudomonadati; Verrucomicrobiota. The record is from RNAcentral.
UGGGGAAUAUUGCACAAUGGGGGAAACCCUGAUGCAGCGACGCCGCGUGAGCGAAGAAGGUUUUCGAAUCGUAAAGCUCUGUCCUAUGAGAAGAUAAUGACGGUAUCAUAGGAGGAAGCCCCGGCUAAAUACGUGCCAGCAGCCGCGGUAAUACGUAUGGGGCGAGCGUUGUCCGGAAUUAUUGGGCGUAAAGGGUACGUAGGCGGUCUAUUAAGUCAGGUGUGAAAGCGUGAGGCUUAACCUCAUUAAGCACUUGAAACUGAUAGACUUGAGGGAAGGAGAGGAAAGUGGAAUUCCUAGUGUAGCGGUGAAAUGCGUAGAUAUUAGGAGGAAUACCGGUGGCGAAGGCGACUUUCUGGACUUUUACUGACGCUCAGGUACGAAAGCGUGGGGAGCAAACAGG